This is a non-coding RNA of Ciona intestinalis (vase tunicate), 253 nucleotides long. Lineage: Eukaryota; Metazoa; Chordata; Ascidiacea; Phlebobranchia; Cionidae. The record is from RefSeq and is a predicted model, not a curated record.
ACCACGACCAUUAAACCACUAUCAUACACAGGUUGACGAUUACGUUGAUUUUUACAUCAGCCAGCAACGACUGGAGCCUCAGAUUCAACUUAUCUUGUUUCUCUUGUUCAUGCUUUGUCUCCACCCGGUGGCUGAACCUGGUAACCCUUCGUUCGUUGAUACGUGUAUAUUGGUUGGGGUAAUGUCUGGUAUCAUUCUUGGACGAAGCCAGAGAUCUCGUUUUCUUGGAAUGUCAGCGUUGCUCGAAACGCAA